This 701-nucleotide ribosomal RNA is filed under the name uncultured bacterium. Its description in RNAcentral is "bacterial SSU rRNA". It matches the Rfam family "Bacterial small subunit ribosomal RNA", at positions 8 to 703 of the family's 1533-position model. The record is from RNAcentral.
AGAGUUUGAUCAUGGCUCAGGAUGAACGCUAGCGGCAGGCUUAAUACAUGCAAGUCGAGGGGCAGCGGGUGUAGCAAUACAUGCCGGCGACCGGCGCACGGGUGCGUAACGCGUAUGCAACCUACCUUUAACCGGAGGAUAGCCCAGAGAAAUCUGGAUUAAUACUCCAUAACAUUGCGAAAAGGCAUCUUUUUGCAAUUAAAGCUCCGGCGGUUUUAGAUGGGCAUGCGUGACAUUAGCUAGUUGGUGAGGUGACGGCUCACCAAGGCUACGAUGUCUAGGGGUUCUGAGAGGAUUAUCCCCCACACUGGUACUGAGACACGGACCAGACUCCUACGGGAGGCAGCAGUAAGGAAUAUUGGUCAAUGGACGCAAGUCUGAACCAGCCAUGCCGCGUGAAGGAUGACGGCCCUAUGGGUUGUAAACUUCUUUUGUACGGGAAAAAACCCCUGGUCGUGAACCGGGGCUGAUGGUACCGUAAGAAUAAGCAUCGGCUAACUCCGUGCCAGCAGCCGCGGUAAUACGGAGGAUGCAAGCGUUAUCCGGAUUCAUUGGGUUUAAAGGGUGCGUAGGCGGGAUAAUAAGUCAGUGGUGAAAUCCUACAGCUUAACUGUAGAACUGCCAUUGAUACUGUUAACCUUGAGUAUAUUUGAAGUGGGCGGAAUGUGUCAUGUAGCGGUGAAAUGCUUAGAUAUGACGCA